This 62-nucleotide transfer RNA is filed under the name Rhinebothrium megacanthophallus. RNAcentral describes it as "tRNA-Gln". Lineage: Eukaryota; Metazoa; Platyhelminthes; Cestoda; Rhinebothriidea; Rhinebothriidae. The record is from RNAcentral.
UUUAAUGCAGUGUUGGUGCAUUUUACAUUUUGGUUGUAUAGGAGGAUAGUUACCCAUUAUUU